UGUCUUUUGAUUGGAGAAAUGUAUUUAUUUACAUUAAGUGCUAUUAUUGUUAGGUAAGCAUUUACUACUGCCAUUUUGUUACUUGUAUUUUGGCUGAUUUGUAACUCCUUUCCUCCUUUCUUCCCUUGUGGUUAGGUGAUUUUCCUGGUAGUGUGUUUUCAUUUCUUGCCUUUUAUUUUCAGUGUAUCUAUUAUAGGUUUUUAUUUGCGGUUACCAUGAGGCUUACAAAAAAUAUCUUAUAACAAGUUAUAUUAAAUAGAUGACAAAUUUGAUCCCAAGGAAAAGAAACAAAAAAACUAUAAAACUCUCCACCUUAAGUCCAUCUUCCUCUUGUACUCCCUGCACCUCUUUUAUAAGGUCAGUACUCCCUGCACCUCUUUUAUAAGGUCAUUGAUCCUACUCAAGAGAGGGCUGCCCUCAUGACUUAUCACCUCUUAAAGGCCCCAUCUCUUAAUAUUAUCACAUUGGUGAUUAAGUUUCAAUAUAUGAAUUUUGGGGGUACACAUUCAGACCAUAGCAGUCACUGAAUGUUUAACUGUAUUAGCUCUGAAUUUACCCAUGUGGUAGAUUGUUUAAUGACCCCAAAUCACCUCCCUUACCUCCCAAUUCCAGUUAUGCACUCCUCUUUAUAAUAUGUCUUUGCUUCACAUCCCAUCCAGAGGUGGUGUCCAUUUCUCCAGCCCCUUGAAUUUUGGCUGACUUUGUUUGCUUUGAUCAAUAGAAUGUGAUAGAAGUGAGGUUGUUUGAGUUCCUGAGCCUAGGUAUCAAGUAGCCUCGAAAGUGCUGCUUUCACCUCUUGGAACACUGCUCAGAACUGCUAAGUGAGGAAGCUAAUCUAGUCUACAGGAGACUGGAAAGCCACCUGGAGAAAUAUCGAGGCACUCCAGCCAGCACCAACUGCCAGACAUGUGAAUGAGGCUAUCUGAGCCCUCCAGCCAGAUAAUCAUCCAACUGCAUGGAGCUACUUAAGAAAGCACAGGCUAAACCAGCAGAGAAAUUGCCCGGCCAACUCACAGAAGUAUGAGAAAUGAUAAACUGUUGCUGUUUUAAGACACUAAGUUUUGGGGUGAUUUGUUACAUAGUAAUAGAUAGCUGACACAGCCUGUCAUAAUCUUUUAACCUGUAAUUAUAUUACAAGAGCUUAUUUCAUUAAGGGAACCUUUUACAAUUCCUCUGCAUUCUUGCAUUGUUCCUCAUGCAGAGAAAUUCUCUCUGUAAUGAAUGUUAUUUGCCUGCCUAAUAAGAGAACACUCUGAACUUCGAAGGUUAGUAGAGGAAGGAGAAUCUCAUAUGCGGAGUGCUACUUCUCCCUUUCUUCUCAUCACCAUCACCACCCUGGCAUGGAUAUAGACCCAGCUCCAGGUGAAGUUGGACCUACCAAAGACUUGGGAGCUGGAAUGCUACAACUACAUUCUCCAAGACUACCUUGUAGCUAGUUUCUGCAUGUGACCUAGCUAUCACCAAGAAGACAUAUUGCUUGAGACUAGGAGGCAGAGAUGCUAAAUGUGAAUGAUAGCUCUGCAGAGAGAGAGAUCAGAUCUUGCAAGUGCAGAGAACAAGACACCUGGAUUUCCUGGGACAGCUGCUCUGGGGAUUUUGGAUUCCAAAGGCCAGUUCUCUUGUCUUUCCAGAAAUUCUUACAAGGUACCUACUACUGUUUAAUGAAUUAUUCUCUGCUUCAACUAGAUAACAUGGAUUCGGCUGUCUACAGUCAAAAAUCCUGACAAAUACAGGAUGAUACUGCACCCCCAACCAUAGGAGUGGUCCCUACAAAUGAAGCACAUUGGAAUACAGUAGCACCCUGACUUCCAUAUGAGUAAUCUCAAGGUUUCCCUUUGAUUCCAAUUUCACCUGUAGGCUCCAAUGUAACAGUGGAAAAGCAGAGGUCAUGAUGGAGAGAAUAGGAGUGAGCCCAUAAAACCUGGUUUGGCUGGGUGCGGUGGCUCACACCUGUAAUCCCAGCACUUUGUGAGGCCGAGGCAGGCAGACCACGAGGUCAGGAGAUCAAGACCAUCCUGGCUAACAUGGUGAAACCCUGUCUCUAUUAAAAAUACAAAAAAAUCAGCCGGGCAUGGUGGCAAGUCCCUGUAAUCCCAGCUACCUGGGAAGCUGUGGCAGGACAAUCACUUGAACCCAGGAGGUGGAGGUUGCAGUGAGCUGAGAUCAUGCCACUGCACUCCAGCCUGGCAACAGAACAAGACUCCAUCGCAAAAACAAACAAACAAACAAAAAACCUGGUUCAAUGAUCAAAUAUUGAGUCAGGGAUAGGCUAAGCCAGCAACAAAAUCAACCCACAGGGACUUCAGGCCUCAGCAGAAUGAACAAGGGAAUCUACAUUUGGAGAUCAAGAUCAAGUUGGUUUGAGAAGAAAAGCCAGGACACCAGGUCUAAAUUGAGUUCCAUGAACAGUAUUUGGCCAAGUCAGAAACCCUUUGUGAAGACCCCUAGCCCCAACCACCCACAGGUGUACAUGUUCUCAUAUAUAUAGGACAUGAGGACAUGUCUUAACAUUUAAUUGGUGACCUUUGCCCCUGUGGUAUGAGAAAAUGGUAUCUCCUACUCAAAUAUCAGAUAUUUUGGUUUAAAAUGUAAAAUGAGUCAGAGUUAAUUUGUCUCAGUCAGCCAACAUGUCAUAAAAAUAUUUUAAUUCCAAGUAUUGCCAUAGUUUAUCUUAUACGUAAGAUAAAGUAGAGCCAAUAGAAAGAUGCAAAAGCAAACCAAAGUUAGAUUAUUGCUUCUGAUGGGACAAACCCUGUCCAGGAGAAUUGUGGGGCCUUUCUUUGAUUGACAGGUAGAUUUGGGAGUUUUUAGAGGGGACCAAGCCUUUUGGGGCAAGGGAAGAUGCAGUUGCAAAAUACCACUUGCUGGUUCUUUGGAAAAAAAAAAUAACAAAAUCUAUAGACCACUAGCUAGAUUAACCAAGAAAAGAGGAAAGAAGAUCCAACUAAGUUAAAUUAGAAAUGAAACUGGAAACAUUACAACCAACACCAUAGAAAUACAAAAGAUCAUUUAAGACUACUAUGACAACUUUAUGCACACAAACUAGAAAACGUAGAGGAAAUUGAUAAAUUCCUAGGGACAUACAACCCUCCUAGAUUAAAUCAGGAAGAAUUAGAAACCUUGAACAGACCAACAACAAGCAGUGAGAUUGAAUUAGUAAUUUUAAAAUUGCCAACAAAAGAAAGCCCAGGACCAGAUGGAAUCACAGCUGAAUUGUACUGGACUUUCAAAGAAGAAUUGGUACCAAUCCUACUGAAACUAUUCCAAAGGAUUGAGAGAGAGGAAAUCCUCCUUAAAUCAUUCAAUAAAGCUAGUAUCACCCUGAUACCAAAGUCAGGAAAGGACACAACAAAAAAGGAAAACUACAGACCAAUUUUCCUGAUGAACACAGAUGCAAAAAUCCUCAUCAAAAUACUAGCUAACUGAAUCCAACAGCACAUCAAAGAGAAUUCAUCAUGAUCGAGUUUCAUCACAGGGAUGCAAGGAUAGUUUAAUAUAUGCAAGUCAAUAAAUGUGAUCUAUCACAUAAACAGAAUUAAAAACAAAAAACCAUAUGAUCACCUCAAUAGAUGCAGAAAACGCAUUUGAAAAAAAAAAUCAGCAUCCCUUUAGAUAAAAACUCUCAACAAACUAAGCAUAGAAGGGGCCUACCUCAAAAUAGUAGAAGCCACAUAUGAUAAACCCACAGCCAACGUCAUA
Molecule: long non-coding RNA, 3699 nt
Organism: Homo sapiens (human)
Lineage: Eukaryota; Metazoa; Chordata; Mammalia; Primates; Hominidae
Gene: PPIC-AS1
Product: PPIC antisense RNA 1
Exons: 2
Source: RefSeq, a predicted model, not a curated record